GAUGAACGCUGGCGGCGUGCCUAAUACAUGCAAGUCGAGCGAACGGACGAGAAGCUUGCUUCUCUGAUGUUAGCGGCGGACGGGUGAGUAACACGUGGAUAACCUACCUAUAAGACUGGGAUAACUUCGGGAAACCGUAGCUAAUACCGGAUAAUAUUUUGAACCGCAUGGUUCAAAAGUGAAAGACGGUCUUGCUGUCACUUAUAGAUGGAUCCGCGCUGCAUUAGCUAGUUGGUAAGGUAACGGCUUACCAAGGCAACGAUGCAUAGCCGACCUGAGAGGGUGAUCGGCCACACUGGAACUGAGCCACGGUCCAGACUCCUACGGGAGGCAGCAGUAGGGAAUCUUCCGCAACGGGCGAAAGCCUGACGGAGCAACGCCGCGUGAGUGAUGAAGGUCUUCGGAUCGUAAAACUCUGUUAUUAGGGAAGAACAUAUGUGUAAGUAACUGUGCACAUCUUGACGGUACCUAAUCAGAAAGCCACGGCUAACUACGUG
RNAcentral lists this ribosomal RNA (497 nucleotides) under uncultured bacterium. RNAcentral's name for it is "partial 16S ribosomal RNA". It matches the Rfam family "Bacterial small subunit ribosomal RNA", at positions 28 to 507 of the family's 1533-position model. The record is from RNAcentral.